AUGGCGGAGGAGGGAACUGUUUGUAGCUUCGUUUUCAAGAAGCGGGGCCUGGCGGCGGGCAGGGGCCGGCGCAAGCGGCCUAGCAGCGACCAGGAGCGGGAGAGCAGCGGUGAGGAGGGCAGUACGGUAGUGCGGAAGGAGCGGCGGCGGGAGACCCCCAACCCCAUGAUCCAGAAGACCAGGAGAUGCACGAAGGAGAGGCCUGCCUACGCGCUGAGCAGCAGUGACGAUGAGGAUCCAUCAAAGGAGAUCGGAGUCACUUACAAAUCGACAAGGUCGGCGAAACCUGUUGGCCCAGAAGACAUGGGAGCCACAGCAGUGUAUGAACUGGACACGGAGAAGGAGAAAGAUGCCCAGGCCAUCUUCGAGCGCAGCCAGAAAAUCCAGGAGGAGCUGAGAGGAAAGGAAGAUGAUAAAAUUUACCGUGGUAUUAACAACUACCAGAAAUAUGUGAAGCCCAAGGACACAUCGAUGGGAAAUGCCUCUUCAGGAAUGGUCAGAAAAGGACCCAUCCGUGCUCCGGAGCACUUGCGGGCCACGGUGCGAUGGGACUACCAGCCCGACAUCUGCAAGGACUACAAAGAAACUGGGUUCUGCGGCUUUGGAGACAGCUGCAAAUUCCUCCACGACCGCUCGGACUACAAACACGGCUGGCAGAUCGAACGGGAACUGGAUGAAGGCCGGUACGGAGUCAAUGAUGAGGAAAACUAUGAGGUGAGCAGCGAUGAGGAGGAUAUGCCUUUCAAGUGCUUCAUCUGCAGAAGUUCCUUCAAGAACCCCGUGGUCACCAAGUGUAGGCACUACUUCUGUGAGAGUUGUGCCCUCCAACACUAUCGCAAAUCCCAGCGCUGCUACGUCUGUGACAAGCAAACCAAUGGAGUCUUCAACCCAGCAAAAGAGCUCAUGGCAAAAUUGGAAAAACACAAAGGGGAGGAAGAGGAGGAGGAAGAGCAGCAGCAUUCAGACCAUGGAGAGGAUCCGCAAUAGCAAAGCACCCUGUUUUGUAUCUAGCUGAAUAAAGCUUUCAUGGGAGAAAAAAAAAGCUCACAGCAGUUGCCUUGGGGCCAGCAGCUGUAGCCAGUGCUUGUGUAUCCAACCAGCAGCGACUAAAACGGUGUCCUGACUGUGCCGGACUCCUUGUUUGCUGCUCUGUGAAGGCAUAAGACAGAACAGCAAUUUCACACAGUCCUGUCAACAGCAAGAUUGCCAGGAGAGACACACAGGCAGAUGGAAACCUCUGAAGCAGAAAGGCACCACCAAGGAAAUGAAAGCAGGAGGCUCUGAUAAGCAGCGUUAUGGAGCAAUGACAGCUGGUGAAACACUGAGCAAUAUGUAAGUGGUUUGCUUUAAUAAAGUCCACUCCAGAUAUAGCAUAAGCCAA
This is an RNA transcript of Gymnogyps californianus (California condor), 1381 nucleotides long. It is a transcript of the gene named E3 ubiquitin-protein ligase RNF113A-like, with no coding region annotated. Lineage: Eukaryota; Metazoa; Chordata; Aves; Accipitriformes; Cathartidae. The transcript has 11 exons. The record is from RefSeq and is a predicted model, not a curated record.